AGAGGCACGUGUGCUUUUUCUACACACUGUAUAGACGCGUGCACAUGUCAGUAGAGGUGCAUGUGGCUUU
This 70-nucleotide microRNA precursor is filed under the name Bos taurus (domestic cattle). Its description in RNAcentral is "mir-2450 microRNA precursor family". It matches the Rfam family "mir-2450 microRNA precursor family". RNAcentral also lists the same sequence under 1 other name. The record is from Rfam by way of RNAcentral. Lineage: Eukaryota; Metazoa; Chordata; Mammalia; Artiodactyla; Bovidae.